UCAAUGUUCCAAUAUGAGCUGCCAAUUGAU
This 30-nucleotide non-coding RNA is filed under the name Rattus norvegicus (Norway rat). The record is from RNAcentral. Lineage: Eukaryota; Metazoa; Chordata; Mammalia; Rodentia; Muridae.